GGAAUAUUGCACAAUGGGGGAAACCCUGAUGCAGCCAUGCCGCGUGUGUGAAGAAGGCCUUCGGGUUGUAAAGCACUUUCAGUAGGGAGGAAAGGGUGUAGUUUAAUACGCUAUAUCUGUGACGUUACCUACAGAAGAAGGACCGGCUAACUCCGUGCCAGCAGCCGCGGUAAUACGGAGGGUCCGAGCGUUAAUCGGAAUUACUGGGCGUAAAGCGUGCGCAGGCGGUUUGUUAAGCGAGAUGUGAAAGCCCUGGGCUCAACCUAGGAAUAGCAUUUCGAACUGGCGAACUAGAGUCUUGUAGAGGGGGGUAGAAUUCCAGGUGUAGCGGUGAAAUGCGUAGAGAUCUGGAGGAAUACCGGUGGCGAAGGCGGCCCCCUGGACAAAGACUGACGCUCAUGCACGAAAGCGUGGGGAGCAAACAGGAUUAGAUACCCGGG
RNAcentral lists this ribosomal RNA (440 nucleotides) under uncultured Shewanella sp. RNAcentral's name for it is "bacterial SSU rRNA". It matches the Rfam family "Bacterial small subunit ribosomal RNA", at positions 358 to 790 of the family's 1533-position model. The record is from RNAcentral. Lineage: Bacteria; Pseudomonadati; Pseudomonadota; Gammaproteobacteria; Alteromonadales; Shewanellaceae.